Sinocyclocheilus grahami is the source of this 610-nucleotide long non-coding RNA. RefSeq lists it as uncharacterized. The record is from RefSeq and is a predicted model, not a curated record. NCBI's taxonomy places the organism in Eukaryota, Metazoa, Chordata, Actinopteri, Cypriniformes, Cyprinidae. The transcript has 3 exons.
AGGAGGAUACAGUGUAUGUGUUUGCUUGUAGCAGUAGCAACCUUUCAUUCUCUUCCUUUAUGCUUUUCAGGAAACAGUACAGAUAUUAAUGAUAACAGGAGCGAUGUUCACUGUGGCAGCAUGGUGGACGAUGCUUCACGAAUCUACAUCAUGCAACAGGAGACUGCAGCCAGUUAAUCGUUUAAUAUAUUCCAGUUGUCUGCAUGCAGCCAUCCAGCCCUCGCCAUCUUCGUAGAGGUCCAGAACUUUCACUCCUAGACUUCUUGGCUCUGUAGCGUCUUAUAUUGUAUGGGAUAUAUCAUUCAUGCAGAGUCAUAUUAUGUAUCCCGUCUCAUGUAUCUCACUGUUGCAUGUUUGUCUGUUUAGUAAGAAAACCGCUCAUAGGUUGUAAAUGAACCCUCACGUACAGUAGAUAUUUGAAUACACACAUCUGUAUUGCUUGCAUUAUAAUACAGGAGAGAACUACAAAUAACUUCCCUUUAGUCUUGCUGAGCCUUAAAACAGUUAGCUAUUGUGAAUGUGUAUGCGCAAAUACACACUCCUAGAUUCACAUAUAACAGUGUGUGUGUCAUUAUGUAGAUUUUGAUACAUAUUAUAUUCAAGUACUGAC